AUUGAACGCUGGCGGCAUGCCUUACACAUGCAAGUCGAACGGUAACAGGUCUUCGGAUGCUGACGAGUGGCGAACGGGUGAGUAAUACAUCGGAACGUGCCUAGUAGUGGGGGAUAACUACUCGAAAGAGUGGCUAAUACCGCAUGAGAUCUACGGAUGAAAGCAGGGGAUCGCAAGACCUUGCGCUACUAGAGCGGCCGAUGGCAGAUUAGGUAGUUGGUGGGAUAAAAGCUUACCAAGCCGACGAUCUGUAGCUGGUCUGAGAGGACGAUCAGCCACACUGGGACUGAGACACGGCCCAGACUCCCACGGGAGGCAGCAGUGGGGAAUUUUGGACAAUGGGCGCAAGCCUGAUCCAGCAAUGCCGCGUGCAGGAUGAAGGCCUUCGGGUUGUAGACUGCUUUUGUACGGAACGAAAAGCCCCGGGUUAAUACCCUGGGGUCAUGACGGUACCGUAAGAAUAAGCACCGGCUAACUACGUGCCAGCCGCCGCGGUAA
Molecule: ribosomal RNA, 498 nt
Filed under: uncultured bacterium
Lineage: Bacteria
Description: partial 16S ribosomal RNA
Rfam family: Bacterial small subunit ribosomal RNA
Source: RNAcentral